GAUGAACGCUGGCGGCGUGCCUAAUACAUGCAAGUCGAGCGAACGGACGAGAAGCUUGCUUUUCUGAUGUUAGCGGCGGACGGGUGAGUAACACGUGGAUAACCUACCUGUAAGACUGGGAUAACUUCGGGAAACCGGAGCUAAUACCGGAUAAUAUUUUGAACCGCAUGGUUCAUAAGUGAAAGACGGUCUUGCUGUCACUUAUAGAUGGAUCCGCGCUGCAUUAGCUAGUUGGUAAGGUAACGGCUUACCAAGGCAACGAUGCAUAGCCGACCUGAGAGGGUGAUCGGCCACACUGGAACUGAGACACGGUCCAGACUCCUACGGGAGGCAGCAGUAGGGAAUCUUCCGCAAUGGGCGAAAGCCUGACGGAGCAACGCCGCGUGAGUGAUGAAGGUCUUCGGAUCGUAAAACUCUGUUAUUAGGGAAGAACAUAUGUGUAAGUAACUGUGCACAUCUUGACGGUACCUAAUCAGAAAGCCACGGCUAACUACGUG
Molecule: ribosomal RNA, 497 nt
Filed under: uncultured bacterium
Lineage: Bacteria
Description: partial 16S ribosomal RNA
Rfam family: Bacterial small subunit ribosomal RNA
Source: RNAcentral